This 260-nucleotide ribosomal RNA is filed under the name uncultured bacterium. Its description in RNAcentral is "partial 16S ribosomal RNA". It matches the Rfam family "Bacterial small subunit ribosomal RNA", at positions 334 to 589 of the family's 1533-position model. The record is from RNAcentral.
GAGCCACGGGCGCAGCAGUAGGGAAUCUUCUACAAUGGACGAAAGUCUGAUGGAGCAACGCCGCGUGAGUGAAGAAGGGUUUCGGCUCGUAAAGCUCUGUUGGUAGUGAAGAAAGAUAGAGGUAGUAACUGGCCUUUAUUUGACGGUAAUUACUUAGAAAGUCACGGCUAACUACGUUCCAGCAGCCGCGGUAAUACGUAGGUGGCAAGCGUUGUCCGGAUUUAUUGGGCGUAAAGCGAGUGCAGGCGGUUUAAUAAGAC